AUUCCAGCUCCAAUAGCGUAUAUUAAAGUUGUUGCGGUUAAAAAGCUCGUAGUUGGAUUUCUGCCGAGGAUGACCGGUCCGCCCUGUGGGUGUGCAUCUGGCUCAGCCUUGGCAUCUUCCUGAAGAACGUAGCUGCACUUGACUGUGUGGUGCGGUAUUUAGGACAUUUACUUUGAGGAAAUUAGAGUGUUUCAAGCAAGCGCACGCUUUGAAUACAUUAGCAUGGAAUAAUAAGAUAGGACCUCGGUUCUGUUUUGUUGGUUUGCAUACCAAAUUAAUGAUCGACAGGAACAGUUUGAGGAUAUUCGUAUGAACAUGUCAGAGGUGAAAUUCUUGGAUUUUGAUCAGACGAACUACUGCGAAAGCAUUUAUCAAGGAUGUUUUCAUUG
This 389-nucleotide ribosomal RNA is filed under the name Biecheleria sp. Its description in RNAcentral is "partial small subunit ribosomal RNA". It matches the Rfam family "Eukaryotic small subunit ribosomal RNA", at positions 582 to 975 of the family's 1831-position model. The record is from RNAcentral. Lineage: Eukaryota; Dinophyceae; Suessiales; Biecheleriaceae.